UGGAGGCACUGCCUGCCGGUGACAUUAGUUAAACGGCCGCGGUAUCCUGACCGUGCAAAGGUAGCAUAAUCAUUUGUUCUCUAAAUAAGGACUUGUAUGAAAGGCCACACGAGGGUUUAACUGUCUCUUACUUCCAAUCAGUGAAAUUGACCUUCCCGUGAAGAGGCGGGAAUAAAAUAAUAAGACGAGAAGACCCUAUGGAGCUUUAAUUAACCAGCUCAAAAGAAUUUACUUACCAGACCGACAGGAACAACACUCUCCUUCCAUGAGCUGACAAUUUGGGUUGGGGCGACCUCGGAGCAUAAAAGAACCUCCGAGUGAUAUUAAUCUAGACAUACCAGUCAAAAUGCUCACUUACUUAUUGAUCCAAAGCUUCUUUGAUCAACGGAACAAGUUACCCUAGGGAUAACAGCGCAAUCCUAUUCAAGAGUCCAUAUCGACAAUAGGGUUUACGACCUCGAUGUUGGAUCAGGACAUCCUAAUGGUGCAGCAGCUAUUAAGGGUUCGUUUGUUCAACGAUUAAAGUCCUACGUGAUCUGA
This 540-nucleotide ribosomal RNA is filed under the name Melursus ursinus (sloth bear). Its description in RNAcentral is "partial large subunit ribosomal RNA". It matches the Rfam family "Bacterial large subunit ribosomal RNA", at positions 1847 to 2608 of the family's 2925-position model. The record is from RNAcentral. Lineage: Eukaryota; Metazoa; Chordata; Mammalia; Carnivora; Ursidae.